UUUUACACCAGGACUAAAUAAACACUCACUUACCCCUGGUACCUGCUAAUAUGUUAACAAGUAAUGUCCUCAAAGAGCCUCAUUACUUGAUUACAUCCGAGGCUGGGGACUCUGUGCUGUUGCUUUCUCCGCCUGCCGGGAUCUCACGAGCCCAGACACAUUAACUCACUUGAAUACUGAGAGAAAGUGGGAGCUUUAUCAGCCUCCAUUAUCAGCCCAGGAUAACAAAAUACAGCAUUGAAUACUGAGAGAAAGUGGGAGCUUUAUCAGCCUCCAUUAUCAACCCAGGAUAACAAAAUACAGCAUAGGGGCAUUUAUGAUCUCAUGGCUGAGGCAUUAUAACGCAAAUGUCUUAAUCCCUGCAGUUCUCAACACUGCUGUUGCCAUGUCUUUGGGUCAGUAACAUGGUGCAGGGUUAAUCAAGAAAGACAAAUACAGUAGAAACAAGGGAAGCUGGAAUCCCUGCAUCCCAUUCCUGCCUGCCCUUGUGACCAGUGUGCUCUUGGCCUGUGGAAGUCAUCCCCUCCUGCUGCAAUCUGUGCUACACACCCCUCUUCAGCACAGAUACCUAAGGGGAUCAUGGCUGAGGGUGCAUCUGUGACCCUUGUCCCUGUGUGCAGGUACCCAUCUCUGAGUGCAGGUACCCAUCCCUGUGUGCAGACACCCAUCUCUGUGUGCAGACACCCAUCCCUGUGUGCAGGUACCCAUCCCUGUAUGCAGGCACCCAUCUCUGUGUGCAGGUACCUAUCUCUGAGUGCAGGUACCCAUCCCUGUGUGCAGGUACCCAUCCCUGUGUGCAGGUACCCAUCCCUGUGUGCAGGUACCCAUCCCUGUGUGCAGGUACCCAUCUCUGAGUGCAGGUACCCAUCCCUGUGUGCAGGUACCCAUCUCUGUGUGCAUGUACCCAUCUCUGAAUGCAGGUACCCAUCUCUGAGUGCAGGUACCCAUCCCUGUGUGCAGGUACUCAUCCCUGUGUGCUGGUACCCAUCUCUGUGUGCUGGCAAACACAAAGGCAGGCAAUGGAGCUGGGCCUGCACUAACCACAGUUACCCAAGGUUAUAUCACAUUUCUCCUUUCAUGGCUCAAGAGUGUCAACAUCCACAGCUGGACUCACUUAUUCUAUAUAAUAUCAGUAUUUUGAUUUUACUCUGAUGUGUUAACAGGCCUCACAAGCCACUUUGGGACCAGAUCUUUUGUUAGCAGGAGGCUCUUUCCAGCAUCACUGAUUUUAGGUGUUUUAGAUGCUGAAGGAUGCUGUAGAAAGUGCAGAAACUCAGUUUAUAUGGAGCGGAAGGAGAGAAAAAGAGAUCCAUGAAAUAAAAGAGGCACACAGUAUUUUGGGAUUUACACAGCCUUUAUGCCCAAAAUACAGUGGCAACCUCUUGCUGGUCACAUCAGCCACCAGAAGCACCUUCAGUGGUUUCAACAAUAAAUGAA
This 1437-nucleotide long non-coding RNA is filed under the name Ficedula albicollis (Collared flycatcher). Its description in RNAcentral is "lncRNA (ENSFALG00000028585.1)". The record is from RNAcentral. Lineage: Eukaryota; Metazoa; Chordata; Aves; Passeriformes; Muscicapidae.